RNAcentral lists this ribosomal RNA (468 nucleotides) under uncultured bacterium. RNAcentral's name for it is "partial 16S ribosomal RNA". It matches the Rfam family "Bacterial small subunit ribosomal RNA", at positions 28 to 507 of the family's 1533-position model. The record is from RNAcentral.
GACGAACGCUGGCGGCGUGCUUAACACAUGCAAGUCGAACGGAAGGGCCCUGCUUUUGUGGGGUGCUCGAGUGGCGAACGGGUGAGUAAUACGUGAGUAACCUGCCCUUGACUUUGGGAUAACUUCAGGAAACUGGGGCUAAUACCGGAUAGGAGCUCCUGCUGCAUGGUGGGGGUUGGAAAGUUUCGGCGGUUGGGGAUGGACUCGCGGCUUAUCAGCUUGUUGGUGGGGUAGUGGCUUACCAAGGCUUUGACGGGUAGCCGGCCUGAGAGGGUGACCGGCCACAUUGGGACUGAGAUACGGCCCAGACUCCUACGGGAGGCAGCAGUGGGGAAUAUUGCACAAUGGGCGGAAGCCUGAUGCAGCAACGCCGCGUGCGGGAUGACGGCCUUCGGGUUGUAAACCGCUUUCGCCUGUGACGAAGCGUGAGUGACGGUAAUGGGUAAAGAAGCACCGGCUAACUACGUG